AUGUGACUCAGCAGUGUGCUUCCUGCUCACUGGCACGCGUGCGUGUGUGUCCAUGGUUAGAGGCCUGGCAUAAAAUACCUUCCAAGGCUUCUACUCUUUCGCCAUACUUUAUCAUUUGUUUUUUCCUUUCCCUGAAUGCCCUCUUUAUUGAUUAAACACUGCUGUAGUGCCUGCUCUAUGCUAUGCUGUACGACAGACCAGUGCUGGCUGGGAAUCCAGGGGAUGAUGAAUCCUAGCUCUUUGCAAGGCUCAUGGAACCUCAUGGGAGGAGGCAGAGAGAGAUCUUUCUUGUUCCAGUGCGGCAUGAAGUGAAGACACCUACAACCAAAUAAUCAGUAAGAACAACCUUUUUGUCUUUUUUGGAAAGUACAUUAAUUCUGAACAUCUCCACUGUGGUAAAACCCGACAACUGCCAGCAUCAGAUGCUCUUCCCAUGAUUCCCAUGAGACUCUGCUGGUGUGCACUAGACCAGGA
Molecule: long non-coding RNA, 474 nt
Filed under: Mus musculus (house mouse)
Lineage: Eukaryota; Metazoa; Chordata; Mammalia; Rodentia; Muridae
Description: predicted gene, 48441
Source: RNAcentral